GCUCUCUUAGCUCAGUUGGUUAGAGCGUGGUGCUAAUAACGCCAAGGUCACAGGUUCGACCCCUGUAGGGAGCA
Molecule: transfer RNA, 74 nt
Organism: Spizellomyces punctatus DAOM BR117
Lineage: Eukaryota; Fungi; Chytridiomycota; Chytridiomycetes; Spizellomycetales; Spizellomycetaceae
Rfam family: tRNA
About the family: Transfer RNA (tRNA) molecules are approximately 80 nucleotides in length. Their secondary structure includes four short double-helical elements and three loops (D, anti-codon, and T loops).
Source: Rfam